RNAcentral lists this ribosomal RNA (407 nucleotides) under uncultured bacterium. RNAcentral's name for it is "partial 16S ribosomal RNA". It matches the Rfam family "Bacterial small subunit ribosomal RNA", at positions 30 to 526 of the family's 1533-position model. The record is from RNAcentral.
AUUGAACGCUGGCGGCAGGCCUAACACAUGCAAGUCGAGCGGAACGGCGGACGGGUGGGUAAUGAAUAGGUAGCAGACUGCUUGAGGGGGAGAAAGUCCGGAUGGAGGCGCUAAUACAGCAUACUAUCAGAUGAGCCUAGCCCGGUUUAGCUAGUUGGUGGGGUAGAGGCCUACCAAGGUGACGAUCCCUAACUGGUCUGUGAGGAUGAUCAGCCACACUGGAACUGAGACACGGUCCAGACUCCUACGGUAGGCAGCAGUGGGGAAUAUUGGACAAUGGGCGAAAGCCUGAUCCAGCCAUGCCGCGUGUGUGAAGAAGGUCUUCGGAUUGUAAAGCACUUUAAGUUGGGAGGCGUUACCAACAGAAUAAGCACCGGCUAACUUCGUGCCAGCAGCCGCGGUAAUUC